RNAcentral lists this ribosomal RNA (1236 nucleotides) under Nicothoe astaci. Its description in RNAcentral is "SSU rRNA". It matches the Rfam family "Eukaryotic small subunit ribosomal RNA", at positions 426 to 1678 of the family's 1831-position model. Lineage: Eukaryota; Metazoa; Arthropoda; Copepoda; Siphonostomatoida; Nicothoidae. The record is from RNAcentral.
CAGCAGGCACGCAAAUUACCCAUUGGUCGAAGACCGAGGUAGUGACGAAAAAUAACGAUACCGGACUCAUCCGAGGCCCGGUAAUCGGAAUGAGUACACUUUAAAUCCUUUAACGAGGAACAAUUGGAGGGCAAGUCUGGUGCCAGCAGCCGCGGUAAUUCCAGCUCCAAUAGCGUAUAUUAAAGUUGUUGCAGUUAAAAAGCUCGUAGUUGGAUCUCGGCGAGUAGGGGCCGGUUCGAGGAAAUCUCGUUACUGGUCCAUGAUCUCGUGUUUUUUGGCGGAGGUUUCAUGGUGCUCUUAACCGAGUGUCUUGGAGCGCCGUCAGGUUUACUUUGAAAAAAUUAGAGUGCUCAAAGCAGGCUUUACAAGCUUGAAUAUUCGUGCAUGGAAUAAUAGAAUAGGAUGUCAUUUCUAUUUUGUUGGUUUUCGGAAAUUGACAUAAUGAUUAAUAGGGACGGUCGAGGGCAUUAGUAUUCAGACGACAGAGGUGAAAUUCUUGGACCGUCUGAAGACUAACUACUGCGAAAGCAUUUGCCAAGAAUGUUUUCAUUAAUCAAGAACGAAAGUUAGAGGUUCGAAGGCGAUCAGAUACCGCCCUAGUUCUAACCAUAAACGAUGCCAGCUAGCGAUCCGCAGUCGUUUUUUUAUUAGGCUCUGCGGGAAGCUUCCGGGAAACCAAAGCUUUUGGGUUCUGGGGGAAGUAUGGUUGCAAAGCUGAAACUUAAAGGAAUUGACGGAAGGGCACCACCAGGAGUGGAGCCUGCGGCUUAAUUUGACUCAACACGGGAAAUCUCACCAGGCCCGGACACUGGAAGGAUUGACAGAUUGAGAGCUCUUUCUCGAUUCGGUGGGUGGUGGUGCAUGGCCGUUCUUAGUUGGUGGAGUGAUUUGUCUGGUUAAUUCCGAUAACGAACGAGACUCUGUCCUGCUAAAUAGUUUAAAUGUCUGUUUAACUACAUUUGAAUUUCUUCUUAGAGGGACUGGCGGCGUCUAGCCGCACGAGAUUGAGCAAUAACAGGUCUGUGAUGCCCUUAGAUGUUCUGGGCUGCACGCGCGCUACACUGAAGGGCUCAGCGUGUUUUCUCCUUUCCCGAGAGGGACGGGUAACCCGCUGAACUCCCUUCGUGGUAGGGAUCGGGGCUUGCAAUUAUUCCCCGUGAACCAGGAAUUCCCAGUAAGCGCAAGUCAUAAGCUUGCGUUGAUUACUUCCCUGCCCUUUGUACACACCGCCCGUCG